This 497-nucleotide ribosomal RNA is filed under the name uncultured bacterium. RNAcentral's name for it is "partial 16S ribosomal RNA". It matches the Rfam family "Bacterial small subunit ribosomal RNA", at positions 28 to 507 of the family's 1533-position model. The record is from RNAcentral.
GAUGAACGCUGGCGGCGUGCCUAAUACAUGUAAGUCGAACGCACAGACGCGGAGCUUGCUCCUCUGACGUUAGCGGCGGACGGGUUAGUAACACGUGGUUACCCUCCUUAUAAGACUGGGAUAACUUCGGGAAACCGUAGCUAAUACCCGCUACUAUAUUGCACUGCAUUUUUCACUAGUGAAAUACGGUUUUGCUGUCACUUAUAGAUGGAUCCGCGCCGCAUUAGCUAGUUGGUAAGGUAACGGCUUACCAAGGCAACGAUGCGUAGCCGACCUGAGAGGGUGAUAGGACACACUGGAACUGAGACAAGGUCCAGACGCCUAGGGGAGGUAGUAGCAGGGAAGCCGCUGCAAUGGGCGAGAGUCUGACCGAGGAACAGCGCGGGAAUAAAGAAAAAGUGGGGAUCGUAAAAAGGUAAUACAAGACAAGAAAAAAUGAGGAAGUAAGGAUGGAUAGAGAGACGGUACAAAGAAAGAAUGACACGGAUAACUACAGU